AAUGUACGCUGGCGGCACGCCUAACACAUGCAAGUCGAACGAGGUAGCAAUACCUAGUGGCAGACGGGUGCGUAACAUGUGGGAAUCUGCCUUUUGGUUCGGAACAACACGGGGAAACCUGUGCUAAUACCGAAUAAGUCCUCACGGAGAAAGAUUUAUCGCCAAAAGAUGAGCCCGCACUUGAUUAGCUUGUUGGUAAGGUAAAAGCUUACCAAGGCUACGAUCAAUAGCUGAUUUGAGAGGAUGAUCAGCCACACUGGGACUGAGACACGGCCCAGACUCCUACGGGAGGCAGCAGUGGGGAAUCUUGCACAAUGGAGGAAACUCUGAUGCAGCGAUGCCGCGUGAGUGAAGAAGGCCUUUGGGUUGUAAAGCUCUUUUGUCGGGAAAGAUAAUGACUGUACCCGAAGAAUAAGGUCCGGCUAACUUCG
RNAcentral lists this ribosomal RNA (431 nucleotides) under uncultured Pelagibacteraceae bacterium. Its description in RNAcentral is "bacterial SSU rRNA". It matches the Rfam family "Bacterial small subunit ribosomal RNA", at positions 29 to 505 of the family's 1533-position model. The record is from RNAcentral. Lineage: Bacteria; Pseudomonadati; Pseudomonadota; Alphaproteobacteria; Candidatus Pelagibacterales; Candidatus Pelagibacteraceae.